CGCGGGGCGGCCCGGCGCGGAGGGGAGGAGGCGCCGCUCCCGGCGUGUGACUCGCAGCCGUGCGGCUGGGAGUCCGACGUGGCGGUCGGCGCCGCUCUUGGCGAGCCUCCAGGGGUGACCUAAUUGGACUCGGCGUGGGCCUUUGAGUCACCCCGCAGGCUUGUUGCGCUUCUGCGGACAGGGCGGCUCAAGCUGGGUUUGUCAGGCUCUGCCUCCUAAAUGUCCCAUGACCUCCCCCAACAGCACCACCAACUGGGGAGUAAGUGUUCAAAUACCAUAGACUACCAGGGACACUUUAAUUCAAACCACCAGAGGUGGCCCAGCAAGAAGCAUGAUGGACAGGGUGGCCAUGGAGACUCUGAGCCUCCCAAGGUAAAAGAGUUACCGAAGGCUUACCUCCUGACUUCGCUGAGGGGCAUUUUUGAAGACUGAAGAGAAGCAGGGAAUUUCAGCAACAUCUUUUGAUUCAGCUAACAUCUGUGGAUGGCUUAUUACUUUUCCGGGACUGAACUGGUUCCUCCUAGUACUCCGAGAACUCAGCUGCCAAGUUCCUCCAUAUUGAAAUGUUCCCUGCUGGAGCGGGGAAGGAGCCGUGAGACUCAGGGAGUUAGCUAACCUUGCAAAUCUUGGAGACUGAAGAGCGCAAGGUUCCCAAGGCCUUCCCCAAUGUGAUAGAGGCAAUAAGAAGUCAUUGAGGAGGAGACCGACUUGCCUGGAGGAGGGGUGCCAAGCUGUCCAGCCAUUGACAGCUCAUUUCUGAAAGUUCAGUGCACGGGAAGCUCUUCAGAAUGACGCUCAAAACCCUGCUUUGGAGCAGCAGCUCAGAGCCGUGACACCUAGAGCACUGGACUGCCUCUGAAGCUUCAGCUGAACCACAAAUGCAAGCCAAUGAAGACCUGCCUGACAGCAAUCCCUGGACACCCUAGAAAGAAAAUGGGCCACACCUCCUCGACUGCACUGGAUCCAACUUGCUCCAUUUCAGCUGACACUCCGGCCAGAGGUUUGGGUACUGACUUCAAUCAAGUUGAGGAUUUCAAGCGAGAUCUUCAAUCAAGUGAAUCCCAUCUAACAUGGACUGGAUACUAACAUUUUCUUUCUACAGGACCCCACAUGACUAUCAUCGUCCCAUUUCAGCAGGAAGUAACUUGGAAAAUGCUACGCCCCCUUUCCCCAUUGUUGUCACUUAGGAUAGUGUAUAUACCUAGUUAGGAAUAGCUUCCUAUUGUUUAUGACUUUAGGGUUUAGUUAAAAUAGAUAGUUAUCUUCUUAUAUUUUACCUUUAUACUGUUAAGUUUUAAUCCUCUUUUAGACUAAAAGGGGAAUUGUAGGGGAAGCUGUAGCCACGCCUUCUUAGGGGCUGGCUACAAGAGUACCUGAGGGCUUGUGAGGGCAUGGUCAGAGUGAGUAGGGGGACUGCGUUUUCAGUUUCGGUUUCUCUUUGCUUCUUGCUGUACAGACUACCACCGGCUGGCUGGUUCGCUCUGUAAGUAAGGCUUUUCCCUAUUAAAUACCCUUAUAUUUCUACCUGACUCCGUACUGGUAAUUUCUUACUAUAAUCUGCAAGAGCAGCAAGUGCUCUAAAUCCUGGGCCAUCCUGCAACAGUG
Molecule: long non-coding RNA, 1605 nt
Filed under: Cricetulus griseus (Chinese hamster)
Lineage: Eukaryota; Metazoa; Chordata; Mammalia; Rodentia; Cricetidae
Description: lncRNA (ENSCGRG00015030877.1)
Source: RNAcentral